Pogoniulus pusillus (Red-fronted tinkerbird) is the source of this 2609-nucleotide long non-coding RNA. RefSeq lists it as uncharacterized. The transcript has 3 exons. NCBI's taxonomy places the organism in Eukaryota, Metazoa, Chordata, Aves, Piciformes, Lybiidae. The record is from RefSeq and is a predicted model, not a curated record.
AACUCUAACACUGCUCACGGGUGCUGGCUGGAACAUGGAAUCACUGAGGCUGGAAAAGAUCUACAAGAUCAUCAAGCCUAGCAUAAAACUUAAGGCCAUGACUAUGUUUGCCUGGACAGAGCUGGGACCAUGGGAAGAGAUGAAGACAGUGCUCCUUGUGAACAUAUCUAAUUCACCCUCUGUGAAAAUUCCCCUUUGCUGAAAAUAUCUAAUUCCCAUCUGAGGAACACGAUCAGCAGGACUUUGGAGUUCAGGCUCAGCAUGUGAAGGAUAUCAGCUAGGACAAAAAGACAAAGCUAAAAUUAAGAAAUAAACAGAAAAGUUGAAGCAUUUCCCCCACAUUUCUGUUCCCUAACAGAAAGCUUCCACUUCUCUUUCUGAAAUAACACUUUUUGAAACUGGCUUCUUCAUCCUCUGUUACUUAGAAAACAACAACAGCAUCUUUGUGAGUAAUCUUGAAGCAUUUUUUUACUCCAUGAUUUUGCUCCAGUCUGACCACUGAACCAAGUGAGUCAUUAUUUGCAGAGCUCAAGAUGGUUGUUGAGUGCUGACACAGCUCCUUUAUCAGGAAUGUAAGCUUUGUGUCCUGGAUCCAUCAGUUGAAAAAAAAAAAAUGAAUUCUAUCUGUUUUUCACCCCAGCCCCUUCUUGCUGAUUAAAGGAAUGAAAUUAACUCCAUGGCUUCAUUGUUGGAGGCCAAGAAAAGUUAAUGGAACUGCAAGAAUCAAGACUGAGAAAUGUUCUUGUGAUGUUUUGCAGGGAAAUCCUGCACCAAGGGCAGCUUUCAGGGAGAGCUUGGUCCACAGAAUCACAAAAUCAUAGGAUUGUUCUGAUUAGAAAUUUUGCUUAAGAUCAUAAAGUCCAAACACCAUGGCUGUCAAACUGUGUCCCAAAGUGAGUGUGGAUUCAGCAGAGCCAAGCUGUGGCACAUGCAGUGGAUCAAUCUGCCAACCACAGUACUAACUGAGAAACAUCACAGCCCUCUGCCAGCACUGCAGGUGUAUUGUGAUGUUGGUAUCUGGGGUGAGUCUUGGUCAACCAUCAAAACAUCUUUUAUCCCUUGCAUCUAUUUCCAUACUUACUGAUAGGUAAGGAUGGUUUCAGUGUUUCCUAAGUGAAUUGGGUGGGUCUCAAUGAAGCUGCUAGCCAAGGGAUCAUUCCCCUUUACAAACAGAAUACCAACAUCACCUGUCCCAUUUCAUUCAUCAGCCUAAUGAAGGCCAUAGCAUGCAAUGUUAUUUGACCAUGGAAAUUAAAUUAUUGUCACCUCAGAAGCCCCUGAGAAGCAGAGAGAGGUGCCAGUAGUUAUGCCCACCACAUCACUUAGAGCCUCUUUAGAGGAACCCAGUCUUAAAGACUCUUAUGCCAACUCCAGUAUCCUCCUGUAAAUCCUCUUGUUUUGUCCUUUCCUGUUGCUUUUAAAUGCAGAGAAAUGUUCAGCCACUCCUUUUUAUGUGCAAAUGCAGCCUCUUUACCUGCUUUUCCCCUUCCUCCUGGUACUUUAUUUGCCUGAGAAAACUGGAACGUGAGCAAAGGAAAAAGUGAAAAACAAAACCCUUCCUCCAAAGGCUUUAAAACAGGGCAAUGAAAAACAAGUUCCUGCUGCUAAAAUUUAAGUGUAGGAUACCUCUGUGGAGUAACAUUUACCCCCUGUGCGUAUUCACACUCCCCAGCUCACUUCCACUCACUUGCUGUCUUCAGCUCUUGUUUUACAUAAGCUUUUAUAUUGGUGAUGGACUGGACAAUAAAGCUUGUAACAAAGCAAUCAAUACACAUUACUCAGCGUGAGUUAGACACAAUAUUGGAGAAUCCAGAGCCAACUAAGGCAGGGAAUAAUCUUGUUCCCUAACACUUUGAGGCAGGAAAGGGAAAAGCAGAACUAGAUUUUUUUACAUCGAUUCCCAUCUCUUUGUCUUUGCUUAUUUCAGUGAUCGUCUGUGCUCUGCAGCUGCUUCUUGCAGGAGCAGACAGUGUUAAGGAGCUUCUGUAAUAGUCCCACAAAAGCAGUGUUCCCUGGGAACUUGAGGCAAUGGGCACAUUCCUAAGAACACCUUGUGUGAGAGGGUCAGCACCUCAAAGAGCAAGCAGAGAGCACCUCUGGCAACUUUCUGAACACUUCCUUGACCACUGUCAAGCCACUGGUACAAGGAUGGACCCAAGCUUCAUGGAUAAAUUACAUUUGCCUGGAUUCACAACAGUGCUGUAGCAGCUGGUUCAGUUUCUCCAAGACAGAGGAGCUUUGCUCUGCUGGAAUCCCCUUGUCUCCGCCUAAUGCCUAAUUAACACUCUGGUGACAAAAGUCACUGGUCCCCAAAAAGGGUGGAAAGUAGUGGUUUUAACACCUCCCUUCAAAAAUGAUUUGCUCUUAUAGUGUGCCACAUUUAAGCUGUGAGUGCUACCGAAGGAAUUAUGCACUGUGCUCAGCCGUGUACAUCUUUUGGGGUUUAUGUUAUAGGAUUAAUGAAAUAUUGGAAUGACAAAUCCUUGCUGAGUAAAUGACCAGAAAAGGUUAUUACUCAGUGAGUAUAUUAAAGAUUAAGGUUGGGAGGAGACACCUCCCCUUAAGGUGGUGAAGGAAGGGGAAUGUAAAGAAUCUGUUACUCCCUGUAA